UAGGGAAUUUUGCGCAAUGGGCGAAAGCCUGACGCAGCGACGCCGCGUGAGCGAUGAAGGCCCUCGGGUCGUAAAGCUCUGUGGAGAGGAAAGAAUAAGUACAGGAUAAUACCCUGUGCGAUGACGGUACCUCUUUAGCAAGCACCGGCUAACUCUGUGCCAGCAGCCGCGGUAAGACAGAGGGUGCAAACGUUGUUCGGAAUUACUGGGCGUAAAGCGCGUGUAGGCGGCUGGGCAAGUCGGAUGUGAAAUCCCAUGGCUCAACCAUGGAAGUGCAUUCGAAACUGCUUAGCUGGAGUCCUGGAGAGGAAGGCGGAAUACUCGGUGUAGAGGUGAAAUUCGUAGAUAUCGAGUGGAACAUCAGUGGCGAAGGCGGCCUUCUGGACAGUGACUGACGCUGAGACGCGAAAGCGUGGGGAGCAAACAGG
Molecule: ribosomal RNA, 428 nt
Filed under: uncultured Myxococcales bacterium
Lineage: Bacteria; Pseudomonadati; Myxococcota; Myxococcia; Myxococcales
Description: bacterial SSU rRNA
Rfam family: Bacterial small subunit ribosomal RNA
Source: RNAcentral